Perca flavescens (yellow perch) is the source of this 478-nucleotide long non-coding RNA. RefSeq lists it as uncharacterized. Lineage: Eukaryota; Metazoa; Chordata; Actinopteri; Perciformes; Percidae. The transcript has 2 exons. The record is from RefSeq and is a predicted model, not a curated record.
CCUGCUGCAGUGUAUAACCUGAGCCCUUUCCCAAUUUCUAGUUUGUGCAUCCUCGAUUCCUCUCCUCGUGUCUUAGUCCGGUCCACAGGAGAUCCGAGCCGAGGAGUCAAGGAUGAGCCUCGAGGAUCGAGGAGGUACAAAUUUGGGAAAUGGGAAAUGCCCUGGUCUCACUCUCCGCUCCUCGCCAGUUUGUUGUUGAAACCUCAGUGGUAGUCUCACAUUGCCAGACCUUCCAUGCCAGACUGAGCAAUCCCGGAAGUGGAAUGUCGUGGACGUAGACUACCUCAGUGCCGUGCAACACUUGUCUGCUCAUCUGCCACUCUCAGCCUCGUCUUUGUUCACCACAGUCCUCACUCGGAUGCCCCCUUCACUAACCCUGGACAGCGGCUCCCUGCCUCCACACCCUGUUCACCAGUUUUUCACCUUUUUGCAUAUUUUACUUGUUUUUUUGUGAAUAAAUUGUUGCUUGUUGAACUCC